Molecule: ribosomal RNA, 316 nt
Filed under: uncultured bacterium
Lineage: Bacteria
Description: bacterial SSU rRNA
Rfam family: Bacterial small subunit ribosomal RNA
Source: RNAcentral
GACGAACGCUGACGGUGUGCUUUAGACAUGCAAGUCGAGCGAGAAAGCCCUUCGGGGUGAGUAAAGCGGCGAACGGGUGAGUAACACGUGGGCAAUCUGCCCCUCGCAGGGGGACAACCGGGGGAAACUCCGGCUAAUACCCCGUAAGCUUGAUGGAUCGCAUGAUCCAUCAAGGAAAGGUAGCUUCGGCCAUCCGGCGAGGGAUGAGCCCGCGGUACAUUAGCUAGUUGGUGGGGUAACGCCACCAAGGCGGCGAUGUAUAGCUGGUCUGAGAGGAUGAUCAGCCACACUGGGACUGAGACACGGCCCAGACUCC